GGAAGGGUGGCCGAGUGGUCGAUGGCGACGGUCUUGAAAACCGUUAUCCGCUCCAUGCGGAUCGUGGGUUCGAAUCCCACCCCUUCCGCCA
RNAcentral lists this transfer RNA (91 nucleotides) under Candidatus Peribacteria bacterium RIFOXYA1_FULL_56_14. Its description in RNAcentral is "tRNA-Ser". It matches the Rfam family "tRNA". From Rfam's summary of the family: Transfer RNA (tRNA) molecules are approximately 80 nucleotides in length. Lineage: Bacteria; Candidatus Peregrinibacteriota; Candidatus Peribacteria. The record is from RNAcentral. RNAcentral also lists the same sequence under 5 other names.